GGGGGCUCAUAUAGAGGAUAGAAAAUCCACAACGAGGUAACAUGUCCAUCUUGGUGACAACAUUGUUUUGAGGUCUUCCAAAAAGUAGCAAACAAUCUUUAGAAGUAGCACUGAAGCUGAAUCACGUAGUAUUGCAUCUAUCGCCACAAAAAUCUCUUGGAUGCACACUUUUCUUUGUGAGGUUCAUGAUAACUUUUAAGCCUCAAUAGUGAUCGACUUCUUUAGCCUCAACGUACUUCAUCCCAUCUUCUAAGCCUUGACGACUAGAAAGUUACAUGUUGCCAAUUAAACAAAUGCUUGUGCAACCUUCAAUAUAGUUCUUUGUUGAUUACCUUGUCAAUUCUGGUCGAACCUUUCAUGUAGUUCCCUUUCGACUCCCUUGUCGACUCUGGUUGAACCUUUCAUGCAUUCCCCACGACUACCCUGUUUAUCCUACUUGAACAUUUCAUGUAGUUUCCUACCGACCUUUCAUGUAUCUCCCUAUUGACUACCUUGUU
This 497-nucleotide long non-coding RNA is filed under the name Vigna radiata. RNAcentral's name for it is "long non-coding RNA (VRAD_LNC015399)". The record is from RNAcentral. Lineage: Eukaryota; Viridiplantae; Streptophyta; Magnoliopsida; Fabales; Fabaceae.